CGCGUAGGCGGUCUGUUAAGUGUGAAGUGAAAUCCCUCGGCUCAACCGAGGACGUGCUUUGCAUACUGGUGGACUUGAGUCCGAGAGGGGGGUGGUGGAAUUCCUGGUGUAGGGGUGAAAUCCGUAGAGAUCAGGAGGAACACCGUUGGCGAAGGCGGCCACCUGGAUCGGUACUGACGCUGAGGCGCGAAAGCGGUGGGGAGCAAACA
This 209-nucleotide ribosomal RNA is filed under the name uncultured bacterium. RNAcentral's name for it is "partial 16S ribosomal RNA". It matches the Rfam family "Bacterial small subunit ribosomal RNA", at positions 568 to 774 of the family's 1533-position model. The record is from RNAcentral.